This 451-nucleotide ribosomal RNA is filed under the name uncultured bacterium. RNAcentral's name for it is "bacterial SSU rRNA". It matches the Rfam family "Bacterial small subunit ribosomal RNA", at positions 354 to 796 of the family's 1533-position model. The record is from RNAcentral.
GUGGGGAAUUUUUCGCAAUGGGGGCAACCCUGACGAAGCAACGCCGCGUGGAGGAUGAAGGCCUUCGGGUCGUAAACUCCUGUCGACCGGGACGAAAGCUUCUCGACCCAAUACGUCGAGUUGUUGACUGUACCGGUGGAGGAAGCCACGGCUAACUCUGUGCCAGCAGCCGCGGUAAUACAGAGGUGGCAAGCGUUGUUCGGAAUUACUGGGCGUAAAGGGCGCGUAGGUUGUCCUGUAAGUCCUGUGUGAAAUCCCUCGGCUCAACUGAGGAACUGCACAGGAGACUGCUGGACUUGAGUUCGGGAGAGGGACGCGGAAUUCCGGGUGUAGCGGUGAAAUGCGCAGAUAUCCGGAGGAACACCGGUGGCGAAGGCGGCGUCCUGGACCGACACUGACACUGAGGCGCGAAAGCUAGGGGAGCAAACGGGAUUAGAUACCCGAGUAGUCC